UGAUGGCGACCGGCGCACGGGUGAGUAACACGUAUCCAACCUGCCGAUAACUCGGGGAUAGCCUUUCGAAAGAAAGAUUAAUACCCGAURGUAUAGUAUUUCCGCAUGGYUUCACUAUUAAAGAAUUUCKGUUAUCGAUGGGGAUGCGUUCCAUUAKAUAGUUGGMGGGGUAACGGCCCACCAASUCAACGAUGGAKAGGGGUUCUGAKARGAAGGUCCCCCACAUUGKAACUGAKACACGGYCCAMACUCCUACKGSAGGMAGCAGUGAGGAAUAUUGKUCAAUGGACGAGAGUCUGAACCAGCCAAGUAGCGUGAAGGAUGACUGCCCUAUGGGUUGUARACUUCUUUUAUACKGGAAUAAAGUGGAGUAUGCAUACUCCUUUGUAUGUACCGUAUGAAUAAGGAUCGGCUAACUCCGUGCCAGCAGCCGCGGUAAUACGGAGGAUCCGAGCGUUAUCCGGAUUUAUUGGGUUUAAAGGGAGCGUAGGCGGGUGCUUAAGUCAGUUGUGAAAGUUUGCGGCUCAACCGUAAAAUUGCAGUUGAUACUGGGCGCCUUGAGUGCAGCAUAGGUAGGCGGAAUUCGUGGUGUAGCGGUGAAAUGCUUAGAUAUCACGAAGAACUCCGAUUGCGAAGGCAGCUUACUGGACUGUAACUGACGCUGAUGCUCGAAAGUGUGGGUAUCAAACAGGAUUAGAUACCCUGGUAGUCCACACAGUAAACGAUGAAUACUCGCUGUUGGCGAUACACAGUCAGCGSCCAAGCGAAAGCAUUAAGUAUUCCACCUGGGGAGUACGCCGGCAACGGUGAAACUCAAAGGAAUUGACGGGGGCCCGCACAAGCGGAGGAACAUGUGGUUUAAUUCGAUGAUACGCGAGGAACCUUACCCGGGCUUAAAUYGCAGCGGAAUGUAGUGGAAACAUUACAGCCYUCGGGCCGCUGUGAAGGUGCUGCAUGGUUGUCGUCAGCUCGUGCCGUGAGGUGUCGGCUUAAGUGCCAUAACGAGCGCAACCCUUAUCUAYAGUUACUAUCAGGUCAUGCUGAGGACUCUAUSGAGACUGCCGUCGUAAGAUGUGAGGAAGGUGG
RNAcentral lists this ribosomal RNA (1085 nucleotides) under uncultured Bacteroides sp. RNAcentral describes it as "partial 16S ribosomal RNA". It matches the Rfam family "Bacterial small subunit ribosomal RNA", at positions 86 to 1176 of the family's 1533-position model. Lineage: Bacteria; Pseudomonadati; Bacteroidota; Bacteroidia; Bacteroidales; Bacteroidaceae. The record is from RNAcentral.